UGAGUUCGACCAGAAUGCCAGGGGCGACCAAGGGGAAGAACUCCAAACCUAGUUCUUGUUUAAAUCCACAAAUUGAAGGUCAAGAUCAGCCCUAAAACGAGAUCUGAACCCGGAUUAGUGAUCCCCAUUGAAAGGGGAGUCACAAGUUGACUCUAAACAAGCUAGGUGGGAGCUUGAAAAGGAACGAGUCAAACGGAUCAUGGAUGCGAAGAAUGUUUGCGCGGACGCGAGGGUAAAACGGCUUAUGGAAUUUACGUGGCUAUGAAUCAGCAAAUUAUUAAGGCAAGGUAUUAAAACGGGUCAAUACUUUGACCCGCGCCAGGUACGCGUAAAUUUGGUGAAAGAUAUGUGAAUACCUUAAUGUAGAAAAAUGACAUGUGAAAGUAGAGAGUAGGAUUUAAACUUA
Molecule: long non-coding RNA, 406 nt
Filed under: Helianthus annuus (common sunflower)
Lineage: Eukaryota; Viridiplantae; Streptophyta; Magnoliopsida; Asterales; Asteraceae
Description: hypothetical non coding rna
Source: RNAcentral